Eucalyptus grandis is the source of this 997-nucleotide long non-coding RNA. RefSeq lists it as uncharacterized. The record is from RefSeq and is a predicted model, not a curated record. The transcript has 5 exons. NCBI's taxonomy places the organism in Eukaryota, Viridiplantae, Streptophyta, Magnoliopsida, Myrtales, Myrtaceae.
AAAAGAACAAAACCGGAACACUUCUGGAGGUGGGUUCGUUCGUGCCCGAAGGCUUUUGUUCGUGCUCUCCCUUUCCCGGCGGCUCUCCCUUCUCUCCGGCGCCUCCCACUCAGCUGACUCUCCGGCGACUCCCUACUCCGCCGACUCUCCGGCGCCUCCCCACUCGACUGACUCUCCGGCGCCGACAGGUGGUGCUCCUUCACCGGCUGAAGCUUCAGAAUCCAGGCUGGUGAAGCUCGUGGCGAGGGCGUUCUACGACGAUUUCACCACCAAGGGGAGAACCAGCCGAAGUCGAGGCGCAGCGACAACCACGGCAUCGUAAGAAGUGGUAACCAUCUGAAGAAGCCAACUUUACUGAAUGCCAAAUCGAUGUCACUAUUCCCUGCAUUAACAAGACUUCUCUGGACCUUAAUGCUGAAGUCUCAUGAUGUAUUAGAAAUUACUCUGGGUCUAUUAAGAGAGUUCCUCUGCCAUCUCCAGUGCUGAUCUUUUUGGCAACAGUUCAGAUUCUGCUCUGGACAUUUCUGCAAGUGACCUCAUCAACAGGCUCUCUUUUCAGGCUCAGCAGGAUAUCUCUUCCCUUAAGAACAUCGCGGGAGAGACUGGAAAGAAUAAGGUCCUUUGCGUCCUCCUUCAUAAAUGAUCUCCAAGACAGAGUCCUCUAAUUUGCAGGUCCUCUUGGUCCCGGAGAAGUGAAGUCCGACCCAUCAUCGCCCGAUUAUGUAAUGGAUGUGAAGGAGAGCUUUUAAGAAAUUCUUUUCAGGAGACAAAUAAAGAAUUUACUUUGAUCUAAGACAGUUUGAGAGUAUUUUGUAGCACAGGUAUUGCCUUAAAGAAUGAUAUGUCGCCUUUUUGUCAGUUACACAACUGAGCUUUUUGUCGAGCCUCAUACUAUUGUGCAUUGGCUUGAUAACAAGUUUCUGAUAAAGCAUUGGCCAUAGGUAGCGAUUUGCUCAAUUGCUUUGUGUGUAAAAGUGAUGGUUUUUUGGCGGGCUUA